RNAcentral lists this ribosomal RNA (1338 nucleotides) under Leuconostoc citreum. RNAcentral's name for it is "bacterial SSU rRNA". It matches the Rfam family "Bacterial small subunit ribosomal RNA", at positions 91 to 1417 of the family's 1533-position model. The record is from RNAcentral. Lineage: Bacteria; Bacillati; Bacillota; Bacilli; Lactobacillales; Lactobacillaceae.
GCGAGUGGCGAACGGGUGAGUAACACGUGGAUAACCUGCCUCAAGGCUGGGGAUAACAUUUGGAAACAGAUGCUAAUACCGAAUAAAACUUAGUAUCGCAUGAUAUCAAGUUAAAAGGCGCUACGGCGUCACCUAGAGAUGGAUCCGCGGUGCAUUAGUUAGUUGGUGGGGUAAAGGCUUACCAAGACAAUGAUGCAUAGCCGAGUUGAGAGACUGAUCGGCCACAUUGGGACUGAGACACGGCCCAAACUCCUACGGGAGGCUGCAGUAGGGAAUCUUCCACAAUGGGCGCAAGCCUGAUGGAGCAACGCCGCGUGUGUGAUGAAGGCUUUCGGGUCGUAAAGCACUGUUGUAUGGGAAGAAAUGCUAAAAUAGGGAAUGAUUUUAGUUUGACGGUACCAUACCAGAAAGGGACGGCUAAAUACGUGCCAGCAGCCGCGGUAAUACGUAUGUCCCGAGCGUUAUCCGGAUUUAUUGGGCGUAAAGCGAGCGCAGACGGUUGAUUAAGUCUGAUGUGAAAGCCCGGAGCUCAACUCCGGAAUGGCAUUGGAAACUGGUUAACUUGAGUGUUGUAGAGGUAAGUGGAACUCCAUGUGUAGCGGUGGAAUGCGUAGAUAUAUGGAAGAACACCAGUGGCGAAGGCGGCUUACUGGACAACAACUGACGUUGAGGCUCGAAAGUGUGGGUAGCAAACAGGAUUAGAUACCCUGGUAGUCCACACCGUAAACGAUGAAUACUAGGUGUUAGGAGGUUUCCGCCUCUUAGUGCCGAAGCUAACGCAUUAAGUAUUCCGCCUGGGGAGUACGACCGCAAGGUUGAAACUCAAAGGAAUUGACGGGGACCCGCACAAGCGGUGGAGCAUGUGGUUUAAUUCGAAGCAACGCGAAGAACCUUACCAGGUCUUGACAUCCUUUGAAGCUUUUAGAGAUAGAAGUGUUCUCUUCGGAGACAAAGUGACAGGUGGUGCAUGGUCGUCGUCAGCUCGUGUCGUGAGAUGUUGGGUUAAGUCCCGCAACGAGCGCAACCCUUAUUGUUAGUUGCCAGCAUUCAGUUGGGCACUCUAGCGAGACUGCCGGUGACAAACCGGAGGAAGGCGGGGACGACGUCAGAUCAUCAUGCCCCUUAUGACCUGGGCUACACACGUGCUACAAUGGCGUAUACAACGAGUUGCCAACCUGCGAAGGUGAGCUAAUCUCUUAAAGUACGUCUCAGUUCGGACUGCAGUCUGCAACUCGACUGCACGAAGUCGGAAUCGCUAGUAAUCGCGGAUCAGCACGCCGCGGUGAAUACGUUCCCGGGUCUUGUACACACCGCCCGUCACACCAUGGGAGUUUGUAA